RNAcentral lists this ribosomal RNA (956 nucleotides) under Russula sp. RNAcentral's name for it is "partial 28S large subunit ribosomal RNA". It matches the Rfam family "Eukaryotic large subunit ribosomal RNA", at positions 39 to 963 of the family's 3401-position model. Lineage: Eukaryota; Fungi; Basidiomycota; Agaricomycetes; Russulales; Russulaceae. The record is from RNAcentral.
CAUAUCAAUAAGCGGAGGAAAAGAAACUAACAAGGAUUCCCCUAGUAACUGCGAGUGAAGCGGGAAAAGCUCAAAUUUAAAAUCUGGUGGUCUUUUGCCCAUCCGAGUUGUAAUUUAGAGAAGCGUCUUCCGCGCUGGACCGUACACAAGUCUCCUGGAACGGAGCGUCAUAGAGGGUGAGAAUCCCGUCUUUGGUACGGACCCCCAGGGCUUCUGUGAUGCGCUCUCGAAGAGUCGAGUUGUUUGGGAAUGCAGCUCAAAAUGGGUGGUGAACUCCAUCUAAAGCUAAAUAUUGGCGAGAGACCGAUAGCGAACAAGUACCGUGAGGGAAAGAUGAAAAGCACUUUGGAAAGAGAGUGAAACAGUACGUGAAAUUGUUGAAAGGGAAACGCUUAAAGUCAGUCGCGUCGACCGAGACUCAGCCUUGCCUCUGGCUUGGUGUAUUUCUCGGCCCGACGGGUCAGCGUCAAUUUGGUCCCUCGGAUAAUGGCAAGGGAAAGGUGGCACCUUUGCGGGUGUGUUAUAGUCUUUUGUCGCAUGCGAGGGGUGAGAUUGAGGAACUCAGCACGCGCGCCCUUCUGGGUGUGUCGGGGCCUCGGCCCACGCCACGUGCUUAGGAUGCUGGCGUAAUGGCUUUAAACGACCCGUCUUGAAACACGGACCAAGGAGUCUAACAUGCCCGCGAGUGUUCGGGUGGAAAACCCGUGCGCGUAAUGAAAGUGAAAGUUGGGACCUUCGUCGUGAAGGGCACCGACGCCCGGACCAGACCUUCUGUGACGGAUCUGCGGUGGAGCGUGCAUGUUGGGACCCGAAAGAUGGUGAACUAUGCCUGAAUAGGGUGAAGCCAGAGGAAACUCUGGUGGAGGCUCGUAGCGAUUCUGACGUGCAAAUCGAUCGUCAAAUUUGGGUAUAGGGGCGAAAGACUAAUCGAACCAUCUAGUAGCUGGUUCCUGCCG